This 253-nucleotide ribosomal RNA is filed under the name uncultured bacterium. RNAcentral's name for it is "partial 16S ribosomal RNA". It matches the Rfam family "Bacterial small subunit ribosomal RNA", at positions 524 to 776 of the family's 1533-position model. The record is from RNAcentral.
UACGUAGGGUCCGAGCGUUGUCCGGAAUUACUGGGCGUAAAGCGCGCGCAGGCGGCCCGCGAGGUGUCACGGGAAAGCCCCGGGCUCAACCCGGGAGGGUCGUGGCAAACCGGCGGGCUUGAGGCCGGUAGAGGUGGGUGGAACUCCUGGUGGAGUGGUGAAAUGCGUAGCGAUCAGGAAGAACACCCGUGGCGAAGGCGGCCCACUGGGCCGGUACUGACGCUGAGGCGCGAAGGCGUGGGGAGCGAACGGG